This is a long non-coding RNA of Vespa velutina, 1227 nucleotides long. RefSeq lists it as uncharacterized. The transcript is spliced from 4 exons. NCBI's taxonomy places the organism in Eukaryota, Metazoa, Arthropoda, Insecta, Hymenoptera, Vespidae. The record is from RefSeq and is a predicted model, not a curated record.
GUAAUGAUUUUAUAUUAAACUAUAGCAAUAUCGAUUUAAAAUCUAUUUUGUAUAUUAUUAUACACAACUUUUUAGUAAACCAUACAAGUAUUCUGAAGAGGACUGAAGAUGCAGCGCCAUUUGGACUUUUAUGCCGGAGAAUAAAUGAACUACAAAUCAAUAUGGCCGUAGCAAACACAAUAUAUGAAUAGUGUAGAAAGAAUGACAAUUAAAUGAAGUAUAAAUAAUGCAUAUAUAUAUGUUUUUAGAAUAUUUUAAUUAACAUUCUUUCUACUCCGUAUUGUGUACAAAAAUUUUUAAAUGCUUAUCGAUAACACGAAAGUAUAGGUUAAGAACGAUGAAAUAAAAUGUAAAGUUUCACUGUUUGCUACACUGCUAAUCGAUUAAUCGUUGAUUGAAGUUAACCAAGUUUAGUUGAAGUGGCCUUAAAAAUGUGCUUUGAUUAUUGAUGUUAUUAUUAUUUAGCGAAAAGAAUAUAAUAUAGUUGGUUGGGCAAGAAAAGCAAGAGGCGGACAAAACUUUGACUGUGCCGGUUUGUUGAGAGAACACGGAUGAUCGUCUUAAGAACCAAUAGCUCAUUGCACGAGGAUAGGCUUCGGUGUGACAAUCGAUCGUCACGUUGGUACCAGCUGGUGCUCCGACCAAUUGAUUUGGUACGAAAAUCAUUGGAUGACUUUCGGUGCGAGAUAGUCUACAGUGGGAAACGAGUUGGAAACAAAGUCAAUUAUCGUUUGCUCGGGACUCGGAUUGCGAACAUGCUCGAGUUAAAGUCGAACGAUACGAUGUCCCAAGGAUUGUUGUGUUUCUUCUUUUCUUUCUCUUUCUUGCCUUAACGUUGGUUCUUAUACAAUUCGGGUGAUGGAAAAAGUCCGAAGAUGGUUGACCUUUUGUAUUUUGUAAAACGAUAUUCAACGACGAUUUCUUUCGAUCUUUUCUUCUUCUUCUUCUUCUUCGUCGUCUUCUUCUUUUUCUUUAUUUUCUUUCACGUUUGUUUUUAGAGACAUUUGGACUUUGGAAAAUGGUACUGGAAGGUCCAAGAAGGAUUUUCUUUGACGUAUCAUUGUAAUAAAGGAACUCCCAUUUUCAUAAUUGUAUCUGAACUGUUAAAAGAAUAUAACGAAAGUGUCGUACCAUUUUCUUUCGAAAUAUCAACUCGAAUAAUCGUUUUAAAAUAUUUGACAAAUUUAUAUUAAUGUUUAUGAUAUCUUAUAAUCGCGACAUAUUUGA